RNAcentral lists this ribosomal RNA (251 nucleotides) under uncultured prokaryote. RNAcentral's name for it is "partial 16S rRNA". It matches the Rfam family "Bacterial small subunit ribosomal RNA", at positions 525 to 775 of the family's 1533-position model. The record is from RNAcentral.
ACGUAGGGGGCGAGCGUUAUUCGGAAUUACUGGGUGUAAAGGGUAUGUAGGCGGCCCUUCAAGUCGCGUGUCAAAGUCCAGUGCUCAACUCUGGGUGUGCACGCGAUACUGACGGACUUGAGGGCUGGAGAGGAGAGCGGAAUUCCCGGUGGAGGGGUGAAAUGCGUAGAUAUCGGGAGGAACACCAGCGGCGAAGGCGGCUCACUAGACAGUUUCUGACGCUAAGGCACGAAAGCGUGGGGAGCAAACAG